RNAcentral lists this transfer RNA (69 nucleotides) under Hyphessobrycon flammeus. RNAcentral's name for it is "tRNA-Ala". It matches the Rfam family "tRNA". Rfam says of the family: Transfer RNA (tRNA) molecules are approximately 80 nucleotides in length. Their secondary structure includes four short double-helical elements and three loops (D, anti-codon, and T loops). The record is from RNAcentral. Lineage: Eukaryota; Metazoa; Chordata; Actinopteri; Characiformes; Acestrorhamphidae.
AAAGCUUUAGCUUAAUUAAAGCGUUUGAGUUGCAUUCAGAAGAUGUGGGCUAGGAUCCUGCAAGUUUUA